This is a long non-coding RNA of Pseudopipra pipra, 3674 nucleotides long. RefSeq lists it as uncharacterized. The transcript is spliced from 5 exons. Lineage: Eukaryota; Metazoa; Chordata; Aves; Passeriformes; Pipridae. The record is from RefSeq and is a predicted model, not a curated record.
GCGGCGCGCACCCGCACCCGCCCCCAGCCCGGAUGCGGGAGGGGGAUCGGGUACCCCCCACGCACACCCGAGGGGUCCCGUCCCGUCCCCGCCACCUUCAGCCGGGGGUCUCAUCGCCUGAUUGCUCCUGUUUUUCCCUUUAUCUGCGCAGGGGAGGUGCGGAUGAAUGGUUUGGUGGGACGCGCUUCAGCGAGGAGGUGCCGGGUUACAACGCACACUGGGGGCGAUACAUUGAUUAUUCCUCGGCUGUGCUUUCCCGCUUUCCCUGGCAGUCCCUCAUUACCCGGUACAACACAGUACGGCGCGGGGGUGUCCAUUGUUCCGUUAGUCUAAAUUGUAAUCGCGCGGGGCUUCUCAUUAUGACUGCGGUACACCCUAAAAUGAUACAUUUUUUAUAAAAGCACCCAAACCCGCAGUCGAAAGAUAAACUGCGUUCCAUGUGGAUAUGAGUAGGCUCCCCAUAAAAAUAUCUGUUUAGCCUGUCAAAGACAAGUUCGUUUUGCGUACAACAAUGUCUAAUUUACAUUCUCUGUUUCCGAAGCUUUAAAUCACUGGCACUUUUCAGCAUGAAAAGUUGAGCACAACUUUGCUCAUUUCGUGACUAAAGUGAGCCUUGCCUGCCUGCUUCAGAUGGCAGAGCGAUUAGAGACACGAGGCACAUUUUCCCCCGGGACGCUGAAAAUAAGAAGAAAUGGGGGGUUUUGCAUAGUCUUAGCUGUUAGAGCAUCGAGCAUCAAAAGUGAGAUAGCAAUCGGAUUGUCUGUAAAAUCCUAGAGCGCAUCCGGUAAGGUCACGGCUGCUGUGAGACGAAGGUGAUGCCGCUCCCCUCACUGCCUGAAAGAAUCAGGCAGAUGGUGGGAAAAAAACAGCCUUGAUCGUUUGUUUUCGCAGAGCAGCAGGACCUCGCAGAGACCCUCGAGAAGGCUCUGCUGGCAGUGAAGAGCUGCAGGAGUACAGCUGCAGCAGGGCUUGUGCUGUGGGCUUUGUCCAUUCUGCGAACCCCAGGAACACAAGGUCUGGGCUCAGACCCACCAGCAGCAAGUAUGAGAAGAAACGAAGGUCACCAGAAGGUGCAGAUGGGAGAUGGUCACAUGCAAUUUCCAUCCCACCCACACGGCCCAGCAAAGGCUUGCCAUGAGACUUCACCUUUGGGGCUGUUGUUGCCAUCGUGGUAAGCGAACAAGCAUCUGUGCUUCGGAAAUCAGUGGAUGGAAGGUGUUUCGUGAAAAGCAGCAUGUGGGAAAGCAGCUUAAAAUGGACCCUCCCAAAUCACAUCUUCUAUGAUUUUAAGGGAUAUGAGAUGAAAAGAAAUGCAUAGAAAAUCUACAGAUUUGUGAGAUUACUUGGCUCCAAAUCGCUGCUGUUUUGAGAGUCUCUGUCCAAAUUCCCCUGAGUGGGAUUCCGCCUGUCAGAGGAAAUGGCCUAAGAGGCUGUCUUACAAUUGAAAUUGGGUUGGGAGGUGAAAAAACAGUGACUCUACGAAGGAGGGGUGUGAUCAGCUGCACACUUGUCUGCCCCUGCUCAUACUCAGCUUGCUGAAAUGGAGCGACUUCAAUUGAUUUUGCUAUUUUUGCAGUGCUGACUGACGAGCCAGUGAAGAGGGAACUGUGUUCUGUGAGGAAGCAGCAUGGGAGGGGCAUGUCCCACUGCCUGUGCUGCACUGCUGGGAGCUACCCGGGGGUUUGGCUUCUCAUCUGCGCUGUGCACCGAUGAGCUACUGUAUCACUGUGUUUUGUGUGCAAAGGGUAACAUACACCUUCUCUUUCAAAGGAUUCCUAUAUAUCACAUCUAUAUUUAUUUAUUUGUUUUAAACAAAAAUAGUCAUGCAUUUGUUAUUUAUUAACCAGCAUGUUCUCAUAUUGGCAUACUUAGGCUUAAAAAUUAAUAACUUUUAGUGUCAAAUUCUGUGCAAGGGACAUGACUCCUACUGAAACCAACUGAUGUUAAAUGUGGUGUUUUUCCAGCAUCUAACUAUGGGAUCAAUAAGGCCUUCAUCCUUGUCGGUAGUCUGUCAGCUGGUAGGAAGACAGGCAGCCUUGUAGACAAGACACAGACAAGGAGGUCAAGAGAAGUGGAUUCUUUUCUCAGUUUGCCUUUGGGCUUUUGCAAAGCCUUGGACAAAUCACACAACCUCUCUGCUAAACCUCCUGACUUCCAAAAUGGAAACGAACAUAACUGUCUGCUUCCCAAGGAUGCUAUGGAGUAAAUCAAUUCUCAGAGAGGGGGGAAGGGAGGGGAAGGAGGUGUGUGGGAACAAAAACUACCUGGAUGCUUUGGAAGGAACAGACAUAUUUCUGUUAGUAUGCAUUUUUGUAAACAGCCUUAGAGUGCACUUAAGUAUUAACACAUUAAAAAAUUAAGCAACAGCUAGAGGAUUUGGUUAUAUAGGGAGGGUAUAGUUAAUAUAAUAUAUUAACAUUGCUAGUCUCAUUCUCCUAUGGACAUAGUUCAUUUUGGAUAAGGCCAGGGUAACUAGAAAAGAUUGAAAGGUCAAACGUUCCCAAUCAAAUGAGAACACUUUGCAAUUGUUUUAGUUUAGAUGGUAGUCAGAAAAAUAUUUCCACCUUUCAUUUGCUAGAAAAGCUAUCCAGAGCUGGCAUUAGUAGUGGCUUUGAUGUAUUCUCUGGUACACUGGUCCAGAGCAUGCUGAUGUAAACAGAAGUGUCUCUUGACCUGUUAUCUUUGUUCUUCAACUUUGAUAUUUGCCCCCUUCAAUGGCUUCUUUCUCCUCCCGGGGAGGCUUAAAAAAGUCAAUUGAUAGAGAAAAGAAAGAGUUUCAGGUUUUUUCUCUGCAUAAGACCCUAAAGAAAUAGACACAUCUAUUGUACAGUCACUGAAGCUCUUGAAAUAGUGUGGGUUUUUCUCUUGAAUCCUGCAGGGAAAUGAGCAAAGAAGGAAAGAAAAAAAAAAAGCAUGCAGUUUUGUCCACAACUACGGUAAGUACAUUAUACUUUUGAUACUUUUGCUCCUGAUGGUUUUUUUGAGAGAAAAACUGAGAAACUCGGCUUCAGAAACAGGCAGUGCGAACAGUAAUGCCUAUGGGUAAGUUGGUCCAUCAUUGCCCAUUAUACAACCUUGUUUUUUGAUGCCUGUAUCUGUCAAAUAUUAGCUAAUUUGUAAUGACAUUUUUUCUGUGAUUGAUGUGUUAGCCUGAAGCUAAUUCUUAAAAUAGUUCAGUCAGUUUGCAAAAUGACGUUGGCAAAAAAAUACAUUUUUCUUCCAUUAAAAAAUAUCGUUGGGUUGCAUGACUGAGAAACUCUCCAUGCACUAUACCUGAAAUUUGGCAAGGGAUUUGCCAAGGAUUUGAUGGGUACCACCCAUAAACAUGCACGAUAAGAAGAGCCCAAUAUUAGGAUGCAAGCUGUGCAGACAAGAGGAUGAGUGGAACUUAAUGAGCAAAAAUUGAUGAGGCUGUGACAAGAAUGAAAGAGCAGUAGCCUGUAAGGAUGGUGUGUAGGACUGAGGCAAAGACAUGAGGAUGUUAGGAGAAAGAAACCAUGAGCAUGGUCCAGGAGUUAAAAAUGAACUACUGAAGUAAGACUCUUAGGUUCUUAAGAGAAUGGAAAGGGAUGAAGGGAUUGGACUGGGAGACGGAAAGUCCUUGGGUAUUACAGCACAGUCUUUUCAAAGAGUCUCUGUGGUCAAAAACUAAUAAAAAAAAGCUAUAAAACUCA